GAUGAACGCUGGCGGCGUGCCUAAUACAUGCAAGUCGAGCGAACAGACGAGGAGCUUGCUCCUCUGACGUUAGCGGCGGACGGGUGAGUAACACGUGGAUAACCUACCUAUAAGACUGGGAUAACUUCGGGAAACCGGAGCUAAUACCGGAUAAUAUAUUGAACCGCAUGGUUCAAUAGUGAAAGACGGUUUUGCUGUCACUUAUAGAUGGAUCCGCGCCGCAUUAGCUAGUUGGUAAGGUAACGGCUUACCAAGGCAACGAUGCGUAGCCGACCUGAGAGGGUGAUCGGCCACACUGGAACUGAGACACGGUCCAGACUCCUACGGGAGGCAGCAGUAGGGAAUCUUCCGCAAUGGGCGAAAGCUUGACGGAGCAACGCCGCGUGAGUGAUGAAGGUCUUCGGAUCGUAAAACUCUGUUAUUAGGGAAGAACAAAUGUGUAAGUAACUAUGCACGUCUUGACGGUACCUAAUCAGAAAGCCUCGGCUAACUACGUG
Molecule: ribosomal RNA, 497 nt
Filed under: uncultured bacterium
Lineage: Bacteria
Description: partial 16S ribosomal RNA
Rfam family: Bacterial small subunit ribosomal RNA
Source: RNAcentral